GAUGAACGCUGGCGGCGUGCCUAAUACAUGCAAGUCGAGCGAACAGAUGAGGAGCUUGCUCCUCUGACGUUAGCGGCGGACGGGUGAGUAACACGUGGAUAACCUACCUAUAAGACUGGGAUAACUUCGGGAAACCGGAGCUAAUACCGGAUAAUAUAUUGAACCGCAUGGUUCAAUAGUGAAAGACGGUUUUGCUGUCACUUAUAGAUGGAUCCGCGCCGCAUUAGCUAGUUGGUAAGGUAACGGCUUACCAAGGCAACGAUGCGUAGCCGACCUGAGAGGGUGAUCGGCCACACUGGAACUGAGACACGGUCCAGACUCCUACGGGAGGCAGCAGUAGGGAAUCUUCCGCAAUGGGCGAAAGCCUGACGGAGCAACGCCGCGUGAGUGAUGAAGGUCUUCGGAUCGUAAAACUCUGUUAUUAGGGAAGAACAAAUGUGUAAGUAACUAUGCAUGUCUUGACGGUACCUAAUCAGAAAGCCACGGCUAACUACGU
Molecule: ribosomal RNA, 496 nt
Filed under: uncultured bacterium
Lineage: Bacteria
Description: partial 16S ribosomal RNA
Rfam family: Bacterial small subunit ribosomal RNA
Source: RNAcentral